This 139-nucleotide unclassified non-coding RNA is filed under the name uncultured Magnaporthaceae. RNAcentral describes it as "sequence contains ITS1". The record is from RNAcentral. Lineage: Eukaryota; Fungi; Ascomycota; Sordariomycetes; Magnaporthales; Magnaporthaceae.
CAGAGUUGAAAAACUCCAACCCCUGUGAACCUUACCUUCUUGUUGCUUCGGCGGAAUGGCCUCCCUCGGGGGGCGACGCCGCCGGAGGUAUCAAACUCUGAAUUUUAGUGUAUCUCUGAGCAUAAAAAAACAAUAAUUA